CCCUGAUGCAGCGACGCCGCGUGANGGAAGAAGUAUUUCGGUAUGUAAANNUCUUUCAGCAGGGAAGAAAAUGACGGUACCUNNCUAANAAGCCCCGGCUAANUACGUGCCAGCAGCCGCGGUAAUACGUAUGGGGCAAGCGUUAUCCGGAUUUACUGGGUGUAAAGGGAGCGUAGACGGNUGUGCAAGUCUGAUGUGAAAUCCCGGGGCUCAACCCCGGNACUGCAUUGGAAACUGUUNAUCUNGAGUGUNGGAGAGGNAANNGGAAUUCCUAGUGUAGCGGUGAAAUGCGUAGAUAUUAGGAGGAACACCAGUGGCGAAGGCGGCUUACUGGACAGUAACUGACGUUGAGGCUCGAAAGCGUGGGGAGCAAACAGGAUUAGAUACCCUGGUAGUCCACNCCGUAAACGAUGAAUACUAGGUGUGGGGGGG
RNAcentral lists this ribosomal RNA (432 nucleotides) under uncultured bacterium. Its description in RNAcentral is "partial 16S ribosomal RNA". It matches the Rfam family "Bacterial small subunit ribosomal RNA", at positions 381 to 830 of the family's 1533-position model. The record is from RNAcentral.